This 69-nucleotide transfer RNA is filed under the name Velarifictorus hemelytrus. RNAcentral describes it as "tRNA-Met". It matches the Rfam family "tRNA". Rfam says of the family: Transfer RNA (tRNA) molecules are approximately 80 nucleotides in length. Their secondary structure includes four short double-helical elements and three loops (D, anti-codon, and T loops). Further hydrogen bonds mediate the characteristic L-shaped molecular structure. tRNAs have two regions of fundamental functional importance: the anti-codon, which is responsible for specific mRNA codon recognition, and the 3' end, to which the tRNAs corresponding amino acid is attached (by aminoacyl-tRNA synthetases). tRNAs cope with the degeneracy of the genetic code in two manners: having more than one tRNA (with a specific anti-codon) for a particular amino acid; and 'wobble' base-pairing, i.e. permitting non-standard base-pairing at the 3rd anti-codon position. Lineage: Eukaryota; Metazoa; Arthropoda; Insecta; Orthoptera; Gryllidae. The record is from RNAcentral.
AAAAAGAUAAGCUAAUUAAGCUAAUGGGUUCAUACCCCAUUUAUAGAGGUAUUAAUCCUUUUCUUUUUA